GCGCCCGUAGCUCAGCGGAUAGAGCAGGAGACUUCUAAUCUCAAGGCCGCAGGUUCGAAUCCUGCCGGGCGCACCC
RNAcentral lists this transfer RNA (76 nucleotides) under Micromonospora craterilacus. Its description in RNAcentral is "Jishengella sp. NA12 tRNA-Arg". It matches the Rfam family "tRNA". From Rfam's summary of the family: Transfer RNA (tRNA) molecules are approximately 80 nucleotides in length. The record is from RNAcentral. Lineage: Bacteria; Bacillati; Actinomycetota; Actinomycetes; Micromonosporales; Micromonosporaceae.